This 540-nucleotide ribosomal RNA is filed under the name Salmonella enterica subsp. enterica serovar Bareilly str. CFSAN000197. RNAcentral describes it as "bacterial LSU rRNA". It matches the Rfam family "Bacterial large subunit ribosomal RNA", at positions 1 to 580 of the family's 2925-position model. The record is from RNAcentral. Lineage: Bacteria; Pseudomonadati; Pseudomonadota; Gammaproteobacteria; Enterobacterales; Enterobacteriaceae.
GGUUAAGCGACUAAGCGUACACGGUGGAUGCCCUGGCAGUCAGAGGCGAUGAAGGACGUGCUAAUCUGCGAUAAGCGCCGGUAAGGUGAUAUGAACCGUUAUAACCGGCGAUUUCCGAAUGGGGAAACCCAGUGUGAUUCGUCACACUAUCAUUACGUGAAUACAUAGCGUAAUGAAGCGAACCGGGGGAACUGAAACAUCUAAGUACCCCGAGGAAAAGAAAUCAACCGAGAUUCCCCCAGUAGCGGCGAGCGAACGGGGAGGAGCCCAGAGCCUGAAUCAGCAUGUGUGUUAGUGGAAGCGUCUGGAAAGGCGCGCGAUACAGGGUGACAGCCCCGUACACAAAAGCGCAUGUGCUGUGAGCUCGAUGAGUAGGGCGGGACACGUGGUAUCCUGUCUGAAUAUGGGGGGACCAUCCUCCAAGGCUAAAUACUCCUGACUGACCGAUAGUGAACCAGUACCGUGAGGGAAAGGCGAAAAGAACCCCGGCGAGGGGAGUGAAAAAGAACCUGAAACCGUGUACGUACAAGCAGUGGGAGC